This 502-nucleotide ribosomal RNA is filed under the name uncultured bacterium. RNAcentral's name for it is "bacterial SSU rRNA". It matches the Rfam family "Bacterial small subunit ribosomal RNA", at positions 58 to 545 of the family's 1533-position model. The record is from RNAcentral.
CCGCGUCGACCGAUAUUGGAAGCUUGCUUCCGAUAGGCGUCGACCGGCGCACGGGUGAGUAACGCGUAUCCAACCUGCCCACCACUUGGGGAUAACCUUGCGAUAGUAAGACUAAUACCCAAUGAUAUCUCUAGAAGACAUCUGAAAGAGAUUAAAGAUUUAUCGGUGAUGGAUGGGGAUGCGUCUGAUUAGCUUGUUGGCGGGGUAACGGCCCACCAAGGCAACGAUCAGUAGGGGUUCUGAGAGGAAGGUCCCCCACAUUGGAACUGAGACACGGUCCAAACUCCUACGGGAGGCAGCAGUGAGGAAUAUUGGUCAAUGGACGAGAGUCUGAACCAGCCAAGUAGCGUGCAGGAAGACGGCCCUAUGGGUUGUAAACUGCUUUUAUAAGGGAAUAAAGUGAGUCUCGUGAGACUUUUUGCAUGUACCUUAUGAAUAAGGACCGGCUAAUUCCGUGCCAGCAGCCGCGGUAAUACGGAAGGUCCGGGCGUCGACGCGGCCG